This 857-nucleotide ribosomal RNA is filed under the name uncultured Leccinum. Its description in RNAcentral is "eukaryotic LSU rRNA". The stretch from base 491 to 645 matches the Rfam family "5.8S ribosomal RNA". Lineage: Eukaryota; Fungi; Basidiomycota; Agaricomycetes; Boletales; Boletaceae. The record is from RNAcentral.
CGUGUAUGUAAACACACUUGUGAACCCGUUGUAGUUCGAGUCCAUCGAAAAGUAGUGUCGAACUACCUAAUAGAGGGCUAAUUGACUUAUCGAAAUGUAAGAAGUUUAUUGAAAAGUAGCAUGAACUACCUAAUAGAAAGUUUAGUACAUAAUAGAGGACUGGUUGGCUUAUUGAAAAGUACCUAAUAGAGGGUCAGUUGGCUUUUCGAAAAGUAAGAGGCUUAUUGAAAAGUAGUGUAAACUACCUAAUAGAAAGCUUAGUACCUAAUAGAGGGCUGGUUGGCUUAUCGAAAAGUACCUAAUAGAGGGUCAGGCGGCUUAUCGAAGUAUAUAGAGGCUUAUCGAAAAGUGGUGUCGACUACCUAAUAGAAAGCUUAGUACCUAAUAGAGAGCUAGUUGGCUUAUCGAAAAGACUACUUAAUAGAGUGACCCAGCAGAUCUAUGUUUAAUCUACUCCACAUCGUAUGUCCAGAAAAUAUAAAUAAAUUACAACUUUCAGCAAUGGAUCUCUUGGUACUCGCAUAAAUGAAGAACGCAGCGAAUCGCGUUAAGUAAUGUGAAUUGCAGAUUUUCAGGGAAUCAUCGAAUCUUUGAACGCACCUUGCGCCCCUUGGUAUUCCGAGGUGCAUGCCUGUUUGAGUGUCAUUUUAUCAUCAACUCAUUAGUCUUUGAUUAGUCUUUUGGGCUUGGACUUGGGAAUUGCUGGCUUGAUCUUUUUACCCAUUGAACAGUAUCUCAGGAUACUGAAUAGAGGGCAAAGUGUAGUCGGCUGUCCUUAAAUGCAAUUGCGAGUGUUAGUCUACAUGGCACGGCCUCUUGACGUGAUAAUGAUCGUCGUGGGCUGAAAGUGUAAUGUC